UGCGUAGGGUGCAGGCGUUAAUCGGAAUUACUGGGCGUAAAGCGUGCGCAGGCGGUUUGCUAAGACAGGUGUGAAAUCCCCGGGCUUAACCUGGGAACUGCGCUUGUAACUGGCAAGCUAGAGUGUGGCAGAGGGGGGUGGAAUUCCACGUGUAGCAGUGAAAUGCGUAGAGAUGUGGAGGAACACCGAUGGCGAAGGCAGCCCCCUGGGCUAACACUGACGCUCAUGCACGAAAGCGUGGGGAGCAAACAGG
Molecule: ribosomal RNA, 253 nt
Filed under: uncultured bacterium
Lineage: Bacteria
Description: partial 16S ribosomal RNA
Rfam family: Bacterial small subunit ribosomal RNA
Source: RNAcentral